GCUUUAUCACAAUGAGGUUUCUGUGUUGGAGGAGCUAAGAGGCUGGCCGGCUAAUCGUCCUCCACAGAGAGCACACAUUCCUACAGAUUAGGGCCUGUCUGAGAUGGGAAGCUGGCUCCAGGCCCCCCAAUAAGCUGCGGGCCAGGGGCCACUCCAGCAAGAGAGAGGCAAAGGGAGGUGGAUGGAGAGGGAAGCGGCUUGCUGUGCCAAGGUGCUCAGAAACGAUGUGGAUGAGGUCGAGGACAUGAGGAGCCCACCAGAGAGAGAACAGAUGUCACAUGCCUCUUGCACCACGUUCAGGGAUGUAUGUGUAGGCGUGUGUGUGUAUGUGUGUUCUGUACGGUGACAGGUAGCGUGUCGUGGUUGAAAGGUAAGGCAGGGCCCAACUCCCAGUAGGAAAUUGAAUGAGAUGGGAGCCAAUAAACGGGGGUAUGGGGCAAUGGGAUAAAAAAGACAUGUAGGAAAAUAGAUUUUGGAUGUAGACACCUUGUUGUCUUGUGUUCAGUUUGUUCUUUACAAAAGCAUGUCAGUCAAAACUUGGGCUGUGAAAUUUCUCAUUGUUUUCUGAGCUUGGAAAAAAACCCAAUGAUCAAUAA
This is a long non-coding RNA of Notolabrus celidotus (New Zealand spotty), 596 nucleotides long. RefSeq lists it as uncharacterized. NCBI's taxonomy places the organism in Eukaryota, Metazoa, Chordata, Actinopteri, Labriformes, Labridae. The record is from RefSeq and is a predicted model, not a curated record. The transcript is spliced from 3 exons.